UACGAAGGGGGCUAGCGUUGUUCGGAAUUACUGGGCGUAAAGCGCACGUAGGCGGAUAUUUAAGUCAGGGGUGAAAUCCCAGAGCUCAACUCUGGAACUGCCUUUGAUACUGAGGAGCUUGAGUCCGGGAGAGGUGAGUGGAACUGCGAGUGUAGAGGUGAAAUUCGUAGAUAUUCGCAAGAACACCAGUGGCGAAGGCGGCUCACUGGCCCGGUACUGACGCUCAUGAGCGAAAGCGUGGGGAGCAAACAGG
This 253-nucleotide ribosomal RNA is filed under the name uncultured bacterium. RNAcentral describes it as "partial 16S ribosomal RNA". It matches the Rfam family "Bacterial small subunit ribosomal RNA", at positions 524 to 776 of the family's 1533-position model. The record is from RNAcentral.